CUGAUUGACUGAGGAAGGUAGCAGGCUUGUUCUUAAACCCAGCAGCAGUUUGGUGACUGCUCAAUGCAUUUGCCCACAGCUGCAAUAGCCCCUGCCUUGAUUUACUCCAGAUUUCCAUGACUCUGCUCCACAAAGGAGGACAGACAUGAUGCUGGUGUUAAAAAUUCAUAUGUUUGUGAGUUGGUGCCAGUUGAUGUCUUCCAUGCUUCUGAGGGGGCCAUGCUUGUGAUGUCACCCAAUUUUUAAUUUGCUACGUGCUCAAAGUAUGGUGGCCAUGUUGGUCAAUUAGCUUGUACUAGAAG
This is a long non-coding RNA of Mauremys mutica (yellowpond turtle), 302 nucleotides long. RefSeq lists it as uncharacterized. The record is from RefSeq and is a predicted model, not a curated record. The transcript is spliced from 3 exons. Lineage: Eukaryota; Metazoa; Chordata; Testudines; Geoemydidae.